This 5496-nucleotide long non-coding RNA is filed under the name Homo sapiens (human). RNAcentral describes it as "non-protein coding CLDN10-AS1:6". The record is from RNAcentral. Lineage: Eukaryota; Metazoa; Chordata; Mammalia; Primates; Hominidae.
AGACAGAGCUCUGGGUAGAGUCUGGGUAGAGGGACCUGUGGUGGGAGAAAGAGAGAAGAUCAGAGUGGAGGGGAGAAGCAGGGUUGGGGCCUUGAAGGUACUGCUGAGCAUGUGGGUCCUUAUCCUUACCCUGCAUUGCCCGCAGGCCUGACCUUUGCUUCAUUCUUCAUGGCUGCCAAGUGAGAGUGUGGCCCCUGCAGAUGGUUGGAUCAUCCAUCCAGUUCUUUGCUUCCUCUAGCUGAUAUCCUUCUUUGCUGUACUAUAUGGGAAAAGCAAGAAAUAUUUGACACCAAAAUUGCUUCCUUUGUGUGGCCCCGUAUUGCCCUGUAUAGAAGCAUUUCGUCUUCACAACAACUCUAUGAGCAGUGUGAAGAUGGACUAAUACAAAGAGGAACUAGGGGAGCUUGGAGGAACCAGAGACUCAAUCAGGGAUUCAAGUGAAGUCUCUGUUGCAAACCCUUGAGCAGGAUGAUCCCACCUGUCGAGACCACAGGCUGUAACUCACUGUCACAAGUUAGUGAUGAACGCGGAACCUUAAUGAAACCGCCAGCGACAGCUGUGCCAUACUGCAAGUCACCACUAGGGGGAAGCAGAAUACAAGCAUCCGGAAGGCUCCGGAGAGCUGCCUCACUUCUGCCACCACGUGAGGACACAGAGAGAAGACUCACCUGUGAAUCAGAAAGCAGCCCUCACCGGACACCAAAUCCAUCAGCACCUUGACCUUGGACUUACUUCCCACCCUCCAGAACCGUGGGAAAUACAUUUCUGUUGUCUAUGAGUUACCCGAUCUAAGGCAUUUUGUUAUAGCAGCCUGAACAGACUAAGACACCAGCUCAGGCUCCCCUCUUGAGCUCCACACACGUCUAACCAAAUGCCGACAAUCCAUCUCUAUCCUGUCAACCUGCCUGUAAGUCAUAUUUGACACAUUCAAAAUCGAGUUUAUCAUGCCUUUGCGCCUCCCAAACCAGCUCCUCCCCUCAUAUGUCCUAUCACCACAAGUGCCCAGAAGGGGAGUGGCACACGGAAGGAAGCAAUCUGGGCGAUGGGGGUGGAAUUAGAUGGCAGAGAUUUGUGACAAGCAUAGAAGACCACCCAGCACGCUCAGGGGCAGCAUCAAUCAUAAGUCACAUCACAGCAGAGCCAUGGUGCUCAUCACAGCAGAGCCAUGGUGCUCAAGUCCCGACAGGGAGAGAGGGUGAGGGAGAGAGAGAGAGAGAGGGAAAGAGGGAGAGAGAGGGACAGAGAGAGACAGAGAGAGAGAGAGAGAUGCAGGGACCCUCGACCCAUGCAGGUGGGCUUGGGAUCAUGAGAGCACAUGAGGAUAGACCCCAGGCUGGCUUCACUGAGACGCCACCCAGAGAAAGGCAGCUGGAGGAUGAGGUGGGAAUGGAGCCCUUGCCACCUUCCUGGAGCUCCAAGCCAGUCACCCUCACCAGGGGCCCAGAGGCCAUUGGGGCAAACAGCACUGAAACUCUUUCAAACCCUGCUGGCCACUUCCCUCCCUUGGGGAGCAGCAGAGAAGCCCACUGGUGGCCAGUGCUCAGUCAGCACAGCUGAGGUGGGCUGGCAAAACUCCUGGCUCUCUCUGUCUCCGAGAAUUGGCUGGGGCAUCUGAUGGUGGUUGCAGAGCCUCAUCUCCCCUCUCUUGAACUUAGCGGAGAUCAGGCUCAGCAGAUCUGCCCAGGUCCCCAGGAGGCCGGGCUGGUUACAGUCUCUGGGGACCAGGUGCUCCCCUUUUGAACCAAGGUUAUUUCUCCCAACCAGGGAGCUUCCAUAAUCACAGGGAUGUCCCCUGACCCCAUCCCUACAAAUAUGUAGAGUGCAAGGGAGCAGGCAGCAGGGGGCAGGGGUGGGCUCUUAAUCCCUGGCAGGGAGCUGCUGCCGUCUGAUCCUCUGAUCCGAGUUGUGGGACAGCACUGGGUGUGUGCUCCUACUUCCUGGCUUAUAGGUUUCCUCCUCUGUGUGGCACCAGCAUGUGUGUCCUUGACUCCUUAGCAGAGAGGAGCCAAUUCACUCUGUCUGUGAAGCCAAAACACAAGAGACCUGCAAGUUUUGAACCCUCCUCUCCACCAAGAUGUGAGACGUAUACUGGCAGAUCCCUGAGAUCCCAUUAGGCUCAGGCCCUCCACCCACCGCCUCUUCUGGGCUCAAGCCUCCCUCUGGCACCUGCAGCACAGAACAGCCUCCUCCAGCCUGGCUCCACGCCUGCCCCACCCCCAUCUUCCUCCACCCUACCCCCUGGAAUGAGCUUCCCAAAAGGCAGAUCUUACCAGGUCUCUCUCCUCCUUGGAGCACUUAUCAAUCUCUACUUGCCUUUUCCAUUCUCUUCUCCCCAUCCGUUUCUACAUAUGGGUUUCCUCCCCAGUUUCACUGAGACAGGGCCAUUGCCCUUGCAGGCCUCCCUGCUGUUUCUGAAUACACAGCUUCUUCUUGGAUUUGUUCUCUUACUCUCUUCCCUGCUAGAAGCCGUGGCUAACCUGUUCUUAUCUUCCCUGACUGAGGUGGGCCUAUUUCUCCGCUCUGUGCUCAUAGCAGCCUCCUCUAACCUCCAUUUGAGACUUUGUUUUAUUGCAGGGGUCCCCAACCCCUGGGCCAUGGGCUGGUACCAGUCUGUGGCCUGUUAGGAACUAGGCCGUACAGCAGGAGGUGAGUGGCAGGCAGGUGAGUGAAGCUUCAUCUGUAUCUGCAGCUGCUCCCCAUGGCUCACAUCACCACCUGAGCUCCGCCUCCUGUCAGAUCAGCUGGGCAUUAGAUUCUCAUAGGAGCACGAACCCUAUUGCAAACUGCACAUACGAGGGAUCUGGGUUCCCUCCUCCUUAUCAGAAUCUAAUGCCUGAUGAUCUGUCACUCUUGAUGAUCUGUCACUGUCUCCCAUCACCCCCAGAUGGGACCGUCUAGUUUCAGUAAAACAAGCUCAGGGCUCCCACUGAUUCUACGUUAUGGUGAGUUGUAUAAUUAUUUCAUUAUAUAUUGCAAUGUAAUCAUAAUACAAAUAACCUGCACAAUAAAUAUAAUGCAUUUGAAUCAUCCUGAAACUACCCUGCGACCCCCGUCCGUGGAAAAACUGUCUUCCACGAAACCGGUCCCUGGUGCCAAAAAGGUUGGGGACCGCUGUUCUAUUGCAUUACAUUCUAAUACUUUAUUUUUUAUUUCUGUUUCCUUCACUGUGGGCGAGCCCCUUCAGGGCAGGGGUUUGUUCCCUCCGAAGCUUAACAGCCUGGCGGCAGAGCUGGCCUUUGAAGGUUUUCUGUGAAAUGAGUUCACCGGUGAUUCUCCAGAUGUGGUCCCUGAACCAGCAGCAUAGCAGGGCCCAGGAACCUGUGAGAAAUGCAAUUCUCAGUCCCGCCCUGACCUGCCGAGUCAGAGCUCUGGGGACGGCACCCGGUCCUCAGCCCUCGGUUCCCGUAGCCCUUCUGGGUGAUUCUCAUGCAUGCUCUCAUUAGAGGUCAGCUGAAUAAGGCACGUGAGAGCCUAAUGAAAUAUGAUGUGAAUGGGAUUUGCUAUUACUACUCAGCCUAGACUGAAGGAUCCUGGGGUGGUGAGCGGCCGAGGGCGGAGCUGUUCCCUGGCCCCCCAUCCUCAUCACUUGGCAUGCAGGCUGCCUGAGGCACCCGAGGCGCAUCUCUUCCUCAGCCCUUGUUAGACCAUGUUAUUUCUUUUUUAAUUUUAAUUUUUAGUUCUGGGGUACAUGUGCAGGAUGUGUAGGUUUGUUACACAGGUAAAUGUGUGCCAUGGUGGUUUGUUGCAUCUAUUAACCCAUCACCUAGGUCUUAAGCUCAGCAUGCAUUAGCUAUUUUUCCUAGUGCUCUCAAUUGUGUUGUUAGUAAUACACACGGAAGUUCUAGGGAGGAACCCAAUGCCCAAAGAGAGACCCUUGAUUCUCUCUCUCUCUCCUUUUUUUUUUUUUUUUUUUUGAGAUAGGUUUUCACUCUGUCACCCAGCUUGAAGUGCUGUGGUACGAUCGUAGCUCACUGCAGCCUCAAACUCCUGGGCUUAAACAAUCCUUCUACCUCAGCCUGUUGAGUAGCUGGGACCACAGGUGCAUGCCACCACACCCAACUAAUUUUUAAAUUAUUUGUACUGACAAGUCUCCCUGUGUUGCCCAGGCUGCUCUUGACCUCCUGGGCUCAAACAAUCAUCCUGCCUCAGCCUCCCAAAGUGCGGGGAUUACAGGUGUGAGCCACUGCACCAGGACAGAGAGCACCUGAUUCUAGGAGCCAUGGUUGGGACAUCCAAGUGGAACUCUGUGGUCAUAGAACCGGGUUUCUCAUCCCACACUCUCAAAUUAAAAACAUUUUGCUACGGGAAUCAGCUCCCUUUUGCCUUAGAGUUUCUGUUUUACCUGUAGUGACAAGUAUCCCACUCUAUUUUUUUUUUUUUUUUUGAGACGGAGUCUCGCUCUGUUGCCCAGGCUGGAGUGCAGUGGUGUGAUCUUGGCUCACUGCAACCUCUGCCUCCUGGGUUUAAGCAAUUCUCCUGCCUUAGCUUCCCAAGUACCUGGGAUUACAGGCACACACUACCACACCCGGCUAAUUUUGUAUUUUAAGUAGAGCCAUGUUGGACACACUGGUCUCAAACUCCUGACCUCAAGUGAUCUACCCACCUCGGCCUCCCAAAGUGCUGGAAUUACAGAUGUGAGCCACUGUGUCUGGCCUAUCGCACUAUAUUUUAAAAUUUGGUCUAAAGGAGUUGAUGAUGAGUUUCUUUUAGCCUUUUAUUUUUUGUCUGUUGGUUUUUGAAUGUAUUUGUUAUCAGUAUCUGGAGUUUGAAAAAGAAAGAACCUCAUUUUAUGAGCUCUGUAGUGGGAGGGCUGCUUGCUAUCACUGGAUUUUCUCCCAUGGCCUAGUACUACCAUAUCUGCUUCUAGAGUGUGCUCAGCAAAUAGUGGUUUUUGAUUACUCAAAGCAAAACUGAGAAGCCAUUUAACAGGCUGGGAAAUAAUUUCUUCAGCACUGAAGAAUAUAUCCAUAGGCUGGGCACAGUGGCUGACACCUGUAGUCCCAACACUUUGAGAGGCUGAGGCUGGAGGAUCGCUUGACUGCAGGAGUUCGAGACCAGCCUGGGCAAUAAAGCAGACUCUAUCUCUACCAAAAAAAAAAAAAAAAAAAAAAAUAGCUGAGUGUGGUGGCAUGCGCCUUGUAGUCCCAGCUACUUGGGAGGCUGAGGCGGGAAGACUGAGGCUGCAGUGAGCCAUGAUGAUUGAGCCCCAGAGGCUGAGGCUGCAGUGAGCUGUGAUGGCGCCCCUGCACUCCAGGCUGGUGACAAGAGUGAGACUCUGUCUCUGUUUAAAAGAGAAAAAAAAGGUUAGGUGCAGUGGCUCAUGCCUGUAAUCCCAACACUUUGGGAGGCCAAUGAGGGUGGAUCACCUGAUGUCAGGAGUUCGAGGCCAGCCUGGCCAACAUGGUGAAACCCUGUCUUUACUAAAAAUACAAAAUUAGCCAGGUGUGGUGGUGAGCGACUGUAAUCCCAGCUAUUUAGGAGGCUGAGGCAGGAGAA